CUAAAGUCCUAUAACACA
RNAcentral lists this transfer RNA (18 nucleotides) under Ameerega trivittata (three-striped poison frog). Its description in RNAcentral is "partial tRNA-Phe". The record is from RNAcentral. Lineage: Eukaryota; Metazoa; Chordata; Amphibia; Anura; Dendrobatidae.